RNAcentral lists this ribosomal RNA (376 nucleotides) under uncultured Gammaproteobacteria bacterium. RNAcentral's name for it is "bacterial SSU rRNA". It matches the Rfam family "Bacterial small subunit ribosomal RNA", at positions 521 to 896 of the family's 1533-position model. The record is from RNAcentral. Lineage: Bacteria; Pseudomonadati; Pseudomonadota; Gammaproteobacteria.
UAAUACGGGAGGUGCGAGCGUUAAUCGGAAUUACUGGGCGUAAAGCGAGCGUAGGCUGUUAAUUAAGUCGAAUGUGAAAUCCCCGGGCUCAACCUGGGAACUGCAUUCGAAACUAUUUAACUAGAGUAUGGGAGAGGAAAGUAGAAUUUCCGGUGUAGCGGUGAAAUGCGUAGAUAUCGGAAGGAAUACCAGUGGCGAAGGCGGCUUUCUGGAACAAUACUGACGCUAAGGUUCGAAAGCGUGGGGAGCAAACAGGAUUAGAUACCCUGGUAGUCCACGCCGUAAACGAUGAGAACUAGAUGUUGGGAGGAUUGGCCUCUCAGUGUCGCAGCUAACGCAAUAAGUUCUCCGCCUGGGGAGUACGACCGCAAGGUUG